UCCCAGAAAUGCCAUGGGGGGCCAG
This 25-nucleotide non-coding RNA is filed under the name Mus musculus (house mouse). Lineage: Eukaryota; Metazoa; Chordata; Mammalia; Rodentia; Muridae. The record is from RNAcentral.